CUCAUAUGCAUAUAUAUAUAUAUUUUUUUGGAAGCCCUGCAACAUUUUUUUUCGAAGCACUGCAACAUUUAGAUGAACAAAAGGUAUUAUCAGAAUGAAUACAAUUUGUUAGGAAGAACCAAAUUCAUCUCAAAACUAUCCUGUAAAUAUUCUCAUAUCAAACCCACUGCAUUAUCUGCCUGUAUAUGGAGAGCUUGAAGGUCGUCUUCUCUCUCUCUCUGUAAAUGUACAUGUGAUCUAAUAUUCAUCUCUCUACUUUUGAUCCUGCUCCAUGUGAAUUUUUGCUGAUAUAGAUGAUGCGAAGUCGUGUCAAGUGGCAGUGACCUCCAUAUUGCUAAUUUCCUCGACAAACUGUGCUUUAGGCUCCAAAUCUAUGAACUGGUUGGACUUGCUGGCCAGACGUGAUAUGCUAACCCUCCCUUGACGCUUGAUAUAGUCAGCAACAGCUUUCAUCUCUUCCUGUGAGAUGUAUAUAUAUUUUCCUCUAUCAUCCAUGACACCGGAAAGUCGCCCUAAUGAAAAGUAAAUCCAACAUUAAAUGUCUCUCCAAGAAUGUUGACAAGUCUGUCUCAUGAACUUCAAAACCACGCUGCAAAGUAUAUUUUACUUUCACGUAAAAGAAAUGACGAGGUAAAUACAAAACUCAUCCUAUGCUGAAAAUAUGUGGGUUAAACCUAAAUUAAACACAACAGAAAGGAAUACACUACCGUCCAAUGAUAAUGGCAGACUAAUAGCUUACCUUCGUUUGCAAGUUUACUUCCAAAGAUGAAACUAAAAGUAGGUGGUAGCUUGUAAUUGAUAUCCAAAAGGGUUAUUUCCCAAGACGAAACUAAAACUAAGUGGUAGACUAUAAUUGAUAUCCAAUAUCAUAAUCCAAAUAAGCUAUAGAAAAGUUGUAUAAGUUUGCUUUACACAGGAGAGUGGAAUUUUUGUGUCUUCAGCCACAAUAUGUCGCAACAAACCUUAUGGAAUGGCAAUACGUACCUUACAAAGAAGACAAAGAAGAAGGUAUGGCAUAGAACUUACCCAUAGUUUCCAGGGAGCUUAUCCGAUUAAUACAUUCCUGCAUUAGCCAAAAGUGCAUGGAAAAUUACAAAGCAAAUAUUUGCACUAACCAAAGCGAUGAGACAGUUAAAAUUUACAAUCAUAAUUAGUACUUGAAAAGUGAGGCGUAAAGAUACAAAAAGUAAUUUGACGGACUAUAGGAACAUGAAAUUAGCUGUAUCAAUUGCUCAACUCAACUCAAUUCAAUACAAUUGCUCAAACUACUGCAUCCUGAACAAGGAAAUAAGGGGCAGAAAAUGAGGAAGGCAAAAGAGAAGAAAGAAGGAAAUUGGGGAGAGGUGGAGGCACAAGUUGAAAGAGUACCUGAGUCCUCAGCUUGAAUUCUGCAGCAAGAUCUUCUAAGGGAAUGCAUUUUUGUCUCUGCAAGAUGAUAUUGAACAAAAGCAAAACGUUCAGCACUGUAACAAUCUGGACUUAGAAUCCUCAUCAUUACCAACAAUAUAUUCGUAGAUUCGGAGUAUAACAUUGUAUACAGUUGCAGAUGCAUGAAUUUAAGGUGUUUUCAAGUGCUAGUUAAAAUCAUUCAUAUUUGAUGGACAUAUUAAUUUUCUUGUAAGAAACAAAGAAACAGAAAACUGAAAAUAACUGCUGCACUGGAUUUUAACAAGUUACUAACAGGAAAAAUCAACCGGUGUUAAAUGAUAGAACCCCUGAUGCUAAGAGUCUGGUAAGUGAGGAUUAUGGGACCUUUAUGUAUUCCACAAACUCAGAUAGCAAAUCUUGAUUUCCAUCUUGCACUUCAUUUUCUGUUGUUCCUUCAGCAUCAACUGAAAACUCCCCUUUCCAUUUCUCGAACUCUAAUGCAGCUGCUUCCUCCUCUUUGGCCUUUCGAGCCUUGGCUUCUUCUUCCAGCAUACGCUCUUUUGCCUCACGCUCUUCGUCCUUCCUCCUGUGCAUUUCUGCAUAGCGCUCUUGUUUGGUCUGCCUUGAUUCACGUGCAGCUUCUUCAGCCUGUCUUUGUGCUUCUCGCUCUUGCCGUUUCUUCUCUUUCUUUGUUGAUGCUCCAGCCUCAUAAUGUUGACCCGCAACAGCUUCAUCAUCACUCUCAUCAACAGCAUCUUCAACGGUUGCUUCAGCAGCUCUUGAUGAGCUAGCUCCAGCUGCUGGUCUUCGACGCAUCCGCCGAGCACCAGUGGCACGCACCACAUUUUCCCUCUGCCGAACCUGAAGCUCUUCUUGAUGUUCAUCAGGUGAUCGAGAAUCCUGACGACGCUUCCAUAAAUAUAAUGGAAUCAGAGCAACAAGAAGAAGCAUAGAAAGAAUUGCAACAAAUAAUUCCUCCAUAUUUCAAUCCUUUUCUGCCAAAAAAAAAAAAAUAGUAAGUCGUACAAAUUUAGUAUCUGUUUGGUGACUGAGAAAACAAUGAAAAGAGGCUUUCAAUUUCAUUUUCAUGGAAAGCGAAACAUUAAACUUGAGCAAUAAAUAUUUAGAAUUUGCCAAUUUUUCAAGUGAUUUUCUCGGCAACAGAACAAGAAAAGAG
RNAcentral lists this unclassified non-coding RNA (2545 nucleotides) under Hevea brasiliensis (rubber tree). The record is from RNAcentral. Lineage: Eukaryota; Viridiplantae; Streptophyta; Magnoliopsida; Malpighiales; Euphorbiaceae.